AGGCCAUGAUGAGGACACUUUCCGUAAUAAAUCCUUGUACCUCUCCCAAGCUUCGUACAAUGAUUCUAGCUCCAUUUGAAUAAAAGUUGCGAUGUCAUUUUGCAUCU
This is a small nucleolar RNA of Pistacia vera, 107 nucleotides long. Lineage: Eukaryota; Viridiplantae; Streptophyta; Magnoliopsida; Sapindales; Anacardiaceae. The record is from RefSeq and is a predicted model, not a curated record.